GUCUUGUUAAAGGAGCGAUGGUUGGCAUCUCCCUUGACAGGGUGGUCAAAUCAAUAGAAUAUGAUUUUUU
Molecule: non-coding RNA, 70 nt
Filed under: Cucumis melo (muskmelon)
Lineage: Eukaryota; Viridiplantae; Streptophyta; Magnoliopsida; Cucurbitales; Cucurbitaceae
Also listed under: 1 other name
Source: RNAcentral